AGAGUUUGAUCCUGGCUCAGGAUGAACGCUAGCUACAGGCUUAACACAUGCAAGUCGAGGGGCAGCAUGAUCGAAGCUUGCUUGAUGAUGGCGACCGGCGCACGGGUGAGUAACGCGUAUCCAACCUUCCCUAUAGUAGAGAAUAGCCCGGCGAAAGUCGGAUUAAUGCUCUAUGUUGUAUUUAGAAGACAUCUGAAGAAUACCAAAGGUUUACCGCUAUAGGAUGGGGAUGCGUCUGAUUAGGUAGUAGGCGGGGUAACGGCCCACCUAGCCGACGAUCAGUAGGGGUUCUGAGAGGAAGGUCCCCCACAUUGGAACUGAGACACGGUCCAAACUCCUACGGGAGGCAGCAGUGAGGAAUAUUGGUCAAUGGACGGAAGUCUGAACCAGCCAAGUAAGCGUGCAGGAUGACGGCCCUAUGGGUUGUAAACUGCUUUUAUAUAGGGAUAAAGUCGGGGACGUGUCCCCGUUUGUAGGUACUAUAUGAAUAAGGACCGGCUAAUUCCGUGCCAGCAGCCGC
Molecule: ribosomal RNA, 520 nt
Filed under: uncultured bacterium
Lineage: Bacteria
Description: bacterial SSU rRNA
Rfam family: Bacterial small subunit ribosomal RNA
Source: RNAcentral